This 287-nucleotide small RNA is filed under the name Salinisphaera hydrothermalis C41B8. RNAcentral's name for it is "5' ureB small RNA". It matches the Rfam family "5' ureB small RNA". Lineage: Bacteria; Pseudomonadati; Pseudomonadota; Gammaproteobacteria; Salinisphaerales; Salinisphaeraceae. The record is from Rfam by way of RNAcentral.
CUUCCUCGAUCUGCUGCGGGCAGACGAAAUGAAUAUGCGCGUCGAUGCCGCCGGCGGUCAGAAUCUGGCCCUCGCCGGCGAUGAUUUCCGUGCCCGGCCCGAUCACGAUCUCGACGCCGUCCAUGACGUCCGGAUUGCCGGCCUUGCCGAUGCCGGAUAUACGGCCGGCCGAGAUGCCGACAUCGGCCUUCACGAUGCCCCACCAGUCGAGGAUCACCACAUUGGUGAUCACCGUAUCGGCGGCGACAUCGUUCCCGUGCUGGCUCUGCCCCAUGCCGUCACGCACG